RNAcentral lists this ribosomal RNA (750 nucleotides) under uncultured cyanobacterium. Its description in RNAcentral is "bacterial SSU rRNA". It matches the Rfam family "Bacterial small subunit ribosomal RNA", at positions 8 to 796 of the family's 1533-position model. The record is from RNAcentral. Lineage: Bacteria; Bacillati; Cyanobacteriota.
AGAGUUUGAUCAUGGCUCAGGAUGAACGCUGGCGGUAUGCUUAACACAUGCAAGUCGAACGAAGCCUUUCGAGGCUUAGUGGUGGACGGGUGAGUAACGCGUGAGAAUCUGCCUUGAGGUUUGGGACAACAGCUGGAAACGGCUGCUAAUACCAAAUAUGCACAACUGUGAAAGGGGUUUUCCCCGCCUCGUGAUGAGCUCGCGUCUGAUUAGCUAGUUGGUAGAGUAAGAGCCUACCAAGGCGACGAUCAGUAACUGGUCUGAGAGGAUGACCAGUCACACUGGGACUGAGACACGGCCCAGACUCCUACGGGAGGCAGCAGUGGGGAAUUUUCCGCAAUGGGCGAAAGCCUGACGGAGCAAUACCGCGUGAGGGAGGAAGGCUCUAGGGUUGUAAACCUCUUUUCUCAGGGAAGAACAAAAUGACGGUACCUGAGGAAUAAGCAUCGGCUAACUCCGUGCCAGCAGCCGCGGUAAUACGGAGGAUGCAAGCGUUAUCCGGAUUUAUUGGGCGUAAAGCGUCCGCAGGUGGCAGUUCAAGUCUGCUGUCAAAGGUCGGGGCUCAACCCCGAACGGGCAGUGGAAACUGAACAGCUAGAGUACGGUAGGGGCAGAGGGAAUUCCCAGUGUAGCGGUGAAAUGCGUAGAGAUUGGGAAGAACACCGGUGGCGAAAGCGCUCUGCUAGGCCGAAACUGACACUCAUGGACGAAAGCUAGGGGAGCGAAUGGGAUUAGAUACCCCGGUAGUCC